GUGCAUGUAUGGGGGUGUGCAUGUAUGGGUGUGCAUGGGUGUGCAUGUAUGGGGGUGUGCAUACGCAUGGGUGUGCAUGGGUGUGCAUGCAUGGGUGUCUGCAUGCACGGGUGUGUGCAUGCAUGGGUGUCUGCGUGUGCAUGGGUGCACGUGCGUGCAUGUAUGGGGGUGUGCAUGUAUGGGUGUGCAUGUAUGGGUGUCUGCAUACACAUGGGUGUGCAUGGGUGUGCAUGCAUGGGUGUGCAUGUAUGGGGGUGUGCAUGUAUGGGUGUGCAUGUAUGGGUGUGCAUGUAUGGGGGUGUGCAUACACAUGGGUGUGCAUGGGUAUGCAUGCAUGGGUGUGCAUGUAUGGGGGUGUGCAUACACAUGGGUGUGCAUGUAUGGGUGUGCAUGUAUGGGUGUGCAUGUAUGGGGGUGUGCAUACACAUGGGUGUGCAUGUAUGGGGGUGUGCAUACACAUGGGUGUGCAUGGGUGUGCAUGCAUGGGUGUCUGCAUGCACGGGUGUGUGCGUGCAUGGGUGUCUGCGUGUGUAUGGGUGCGCGUGUGUGCAUGCAUGGGUGUGCAUGCAUGGGGGUGUGCAUGUAGGGGCGUGUGCAUACAUGUUGGUGUGCAUGGGUGUGCAUUCAUGGGGGUGUGCAUGUAUGGGCGUGUGCAUACACGUGGGUGUGCAGGGGUGUGCAUGCAUGGGGGUGUGCAUGUAUGGGGGUGUGCGUGUGUGCAGUGUGUGUGCAUGGGUGUGCAUGGGUGCAUGUAUGUGGGUGUGCAUGUGUGGGUGUGCGCGUGUGCAUGGGUGUGCGGAUGUGUGCAGAGUGUGUGUGCAUGGUUGUGUGCAUGCAUGGGGGUGUGCAUGUGCAUGGGUACAUGUAUGUGCAUGCAUGGGGGUGUGCAUGUGUGUGCACUGGGUGUGUGCACACGCGUGUAUGCACACAGGUGUGCAUGAGUGUGUGCACUGGGGGUGCGUGUGUGGGUGCAUCUGCGUGCAAUGGGGGUGUGCAUGGGGGUGUGCAUGUGUGCGCACUGGGGCAUGCAUGUGUGUGUGCACUGGGGAGUGUGCGUGGGGGUGUGCAUGA
This 1071-nucleotide long non-coding RNA is filed under the name Anser brachyrhynchus (Pink-footed goose). Its description in RNAcentral is "lncRNA (ENSABRG00000015587.1)". Lineage: Eukaryota; Metazoa; Chordata; Aves; Anseriformes; Anatidae. The record is from RNAcentral.